This 594-nucleotide long non-coding RNA is filed under the name Rattus norvegicus (Norway rat). RNAcentral's name for it is "long non-coding RNA NONRATT023160". Lineage: Eukaryota; Metazoa; Chordata; Mammalia; Rodentia; Muridae. The record is from RNAcentral.
UAAGGGGCAGGAGGGGAGGGGUGUCAAUGUGUGGAAGCAACCCCACCUGUCAGUCCUCAGGCACUGGCCUAGGGUGGAAAGUGCCUGCUUCGUAGCUUGCUCCUUUUACUCUAGGCUAUUCAAGCACCGUCUUUUCUAGGUUUGGAGGGAUGAGGCCAGAAGUUGGGUGGGACGUGGGGCUUUCCUCAGCUCCAGAGCUAUACUUUACUUUACAGGACCAGUGUGUGGAGAUCACUGAGGAGUCCAAGGCUCUCCUGGAGGAGUAUAACAAGACUACAAUGCUUCUCUCCAAGCAGUUUGUGCAGUGGGACGAGCUACUCUGCCAGCUAGAGGCUGCCAAGCAAGUGAAGCCAGCAGCAGAAUGACAGCUGCUCCCCAUGUCCCCACCAGGGGAGGUAGGCAGGCUCCAGGGCCUUCCACCAACCUGUCUUUAUAAGGCAGAGACAGCUUUGCCUCUGAAUUCAAAUACUACCUGUCUGUGUUCAACUGGGGGCUCUGAGGUCAGAGGUCAGCUUUACCUUAGGGUCAUGAUUUGUACUCCCUGUCAAAUGUAUUUAUUUCAGUGACAAUAAACCAUAGAGACCACUAAAGCAA